AAAUAUCAUCACAAAGUCAAUAUUUGUAGGAUUUUUGCAUGGUAAGUAUGAUUUUUAGAUUUGUCAUCAAAUACACAUUCGAUCGUAACUCAAAUCAUGAAGAAUAAACAUUUUCCAUGUGCUUUUCUGUCAUUCUUCGUUUGGUCGUUGAAGGGUUCGGACGUGUUUUUCGAAGCUCUCGACGUCGUGACCUAAUUAUAAUUUGAACUGCGCGGGUAAAGAACGCUCAUUUGCGGCUUGGACAUUGACCAAUACGGACGUGUUUUUAAAGCGCUCUGAAAAAAGUUUUGACUUUUAAAUUUUUUUUACUACGACAGAAUCUUAGUUGACUGAUGGUCUUUGACAAAGACAGACUUGUUUUUGUGAGCUCUGAACAAAAUUUGACUUUGAAAUAUUUUUACGAUUAAAAAGUUUCAGUUGACUUUUGAACGUUGACGAAGACGGACGUACUUUCGUGAGCUCUGACUAUUGAUGAAAAGUUUUCGCGUUAUAGAAUAGCGACUUGGUACUCAGGUUGUUGAAUGACUGGAUGACUGAAGUGUUAGGUUAUUGUUAUGAGAUAACAACUUGACUUUGACUUGAGUUGUGAAAUGAAAUCAUACUCUUAUGCGAUGUUAACUUUUGAACGUUUAGUAUUGACUGACAACGAAAUUUUGUGAGCGUUAUAUAUGAAAUGUUUGACUUACAUUAAUUUUUUUGAACGACUUGACUUCACUUUAAGUUUUGACAUCGGACUGAUCGGACGUGUUUUUUUAAGCUCUGACUGUUGUGAAUAAUUAAAUUUAUGUUGUGGUGUCAAGCGAUUGACUGUCAGUUGAGGUUCAGAUGUCGAGCUGUGCGGACGUGUUCAUCGAGCUGCUGUCUACAAAAAACGUGAGUACAAAUUUUUUUCGUUUUACUGUUUACAAGUUGCGUGAUGAUGUAUGAUGGUUGUAAUGUGUUGGGUAGAAAUUACUCAGUGCUGAUACAGUGUCGAUAUGUUGUGAUGAGCGAUAAUAGUGGAUGAUGGUGGAACAGAAUAUUCAUUGAGCUAUUUUGAGGAAGCGAACAUAUGAUGGAAAAAUGUUGCAAAAAUAUUAAAUGCAUGUGCUUAUAUGUACUAAAUAUGAUAUUGCUUUACUUGUAUUUGCAUGCUGUUAACAUUUCUAUUUUAUUCCAGUGGGCUGUGGUGAGUAUUGCAGAUUUAACUUGUAUGUGUGGUUUUUAGUUAACGAUGCUUAAUGAAAACUGUUAUUGUACACUUAGUAUGGAAUGAUGUGAAUGAUGAUAUGAUGGGUAGAAUUAAUCAGUGCUUGUGUCUAGAAAUGCUGAAUGUUUAUUGAAAAGGCUAAAUGCUAGCCAGUACUAAGAGUUGAGCUACCGUGGGAAUGUGAAACGAACUGAUGGUGUAAUAUGAUGGUGUAUUGACAUACUUUUCUUAUAUGUACUAAAUAUGAUAUUGCUUUACUUGUAUUUGCAUGCUGUUAACAUUUCUAUUUUGUUCCAGUGUGCUGUGGUGAGUACUGUAGAUAUUACUUGAUUUUUAGUGUCUAUGAAUGCUGAUGUAUGAUAGCUAUAGCAUGAGCUCAAUGCUAACCAGUAUUAUGAGUUGAUGUAUUGUGGUGAUGCUAAUCGAACUGAUGAUGUAACAUGAUGGUGAACACUUACUGAAUGCAUAAAAUUUAUUGAAUUGCAUUUGUUGAUAUGCACUAUAAUAUGAUAAAUGUAUUGCUUUACAUGUAUAUUUCAUGAUGUUUAAUUUCAGUGGGCUGUGGUGAGUACUGUAGAUUGUAUUGCCUAUGUAUAGAAUUCAAUAAAAGAUUAUGACUGAAAACUGCUUUUGAUUCUUUUUGAACAGUUUUAGGGACUAUAAGUCUAUAACAAAAAUAUGUCGGUUGGCGUUCAUACAGCAAUGUUUUGAGUAGUACAGAAAUGUUUCUACGUUUGUGGUCGCCAGUUGUCUGUGAUGUGUAAAGUGAAAAAUACACGGAGCUUUGAAUACAACAAACAGUUACUGUUUUAACACAGAUUGUGUGCUAUGCAUUUUUCGAUGUAGAUCUUUUUCAGAUUUGACAUGAAAUGUAGACCUGACAUUUGAACAGAGCUGGGAAACGAAAAGGUAAGUUUGUUAAAUUUCACAAUGAACACUUGUGUUUUGACAAAAGAAGAGAUAAAGUGAGUUUUGUCAUCAUCAUGGUUUCUUUCAGAGUAUAACUCGUGAACAGAUGAAAACCUAUUUUUUGCUAGAUUUUCAUGUACUCUUUUUUUGGAUGAUAAGUAUGUCAGUAACUCAAAAUCAUACGGCUAGUACAGUAUGGAACAUGAAUGCUUUGUUCAGAUUUUCAGAUGUGUGCUGGCAGUUCAAGUCUGGCAGCUGAAGUGAACAGUCGUGUUUUCUGGAGCUCCAACAAUAUGCUAGAAGGUAAGUAACUAUGUUUGUUUUGCAUUGCAUGUUUUUAUAUGUUUCAGACUUUCAAGCAGAGAUGUCAUGCUGACUGGAGUUGAGCACAGGGCAGUGACAAAGUGAAAGGUAAGUACUUUUGACUGAAUGUUUGUUCUAUGCAUGUUUUGUUUUAAUACAUUUCAGGAGUGCUUAUCCAGUGAUGAUAUGACAGUUGGAGUGAACAGUGGAGCCAAGCAGUCUUGUUUUUGGAGCUACUCAACAAGCCUUGAAGGUAAGUUUAGAAUUUCUCAAUGUUAGUGAAUUGAAGUACUGUCACUUGCUUUUGGACAGUCGAACAGAACAGACGUGGUUGCGAGAGCUCUCAUAUCUGUUGUGUUAAACUGUUUUUAUGAUAUGUUAUGUUUGUUUGUUUGUUUGUGAUGUACUAUUUUUCAGAUGCUGAUGGCAGUGAUGGGUUUUCAAGCUGACCUGAACAGAAAAGCACUCAUAUGGUAAGUACAAAAUAGUUGUUAUAUGGGAUGUUUUGUGCAUGCUUUUAUGUUUCAGGUGUACUUGCUGACAGCGACGAAGACGAAUCAAGAAGAGGAACAUUGUUGAGAAAGUGAUUGGGACUUGCAAACAGGGUAAGUGUAACACUUGUGUUUGUUUAAUUUGUAACAUGCGUGCUUUGCUCUGUUUCAGAUUUCACAUGCAGAAAUUAAACAGGAUUUCAACUGCUGAGACACAAUUCAUCAAAAGUAAGGUAAGUUUUAAUUCAUUGAUUUGAGUUGUACAAUGUGUUCUUUACUUUAUUUCAGAUUCGAGUCACUGGUUUACACAUGGAAGAAGAUUUCCACGUCUGUUACUCAACUCUACAGAAGCAAGGUAAGUCGAUCAAAUUUUUGUUUUCAUUGACUGCUGUAAUGUGAUGUUAUGCUAUUUUUCAUGUGUGCUAUGCAGAGAUGGAGAAUUCAAUUUUAAGAAAGAUUAACUGCUGCAGAUUAGCUCUGCUCUGUGUUGAUUUUUGUUCAAAAACGUUUAAAAUGUAUGUGUGUUUUCAGAUGUUUUGUUUCAGUUGAUGUCCAGAUGGCAAGCAGUACAGACGUGUUUCUUGGAGCUGCCAAACAAUUCACAUGCAGAAAAGGUCUCAUAGUAGCCUCAACUGUGAAUAAGGAUAUCAACUGCUGUGACUAAACUGUUGAAGAAGGGUAAGUGGAACAAUGUGUUUGUUUUAUAAGUACCAUGUAUGCUUUAUUUUGCUCUGUUUCAGAGUAGACAUACAAACAGUGUCUUGCUUUGCAUGCUAUUUUUCAGGUCUCUCAUGCAGUGAGGGAAAAGAAAAAGAUUUCAAUAAAGAAUCACUGCUGCAACUCAGCUCUUUAAACAAGACUUACAUUGCUGUGACUGUUCCACAGUGGGUCAAAAAAGAGACGAAUACAGGUUUCAAGAAGAAAAUUGGCUGUUGAAAACCUGCACAAAAUAUGAGGUAAGUAAACUAUUCUUUUGGUUUGUUUUGUGCUUUGUUAUGCUUAACUAUUUUUCAGAUUGGAAUGGUGGGUCGUUACAGAGCAGACUUUUGGACAACUGAGAAGUUGAGAAACAGAGAAUGAUUCAAGAUCAGCUAGGUAAGUCUUGAUUAUUGUGCAUUGCUAAAUGUUUUUUUUCAUUCCAGUAUGGCUGUGGUAAGUACACAAACUUUCUAUAAUUUAAUAUUGAACUGUUUUUAUGACCUGUAUUCUGCAUUGUAAAAUGUCUGUUUUUCAUUUCAGUAUCCUGUGGUAAGUACAAUUGCCUUCUUUAAUUUUCAUAUUGAACUGUUUUGAUGACUUGUAUACUACUAUGCAAUGCUUAAUGUUUUUUUCAUUUCAGUAGCCUGUUGGUAAGUACACUAACUUUCUAUAAUUUCAUAGUGAAUUGUUUUGAUGACCUGUAUUCUGCAUUGUAAAAUGUGUUUCUUUUUCAUUUCAGUAUGGCUGUGGUAAGUACAAUUGCCUUUCAUAUUGAACUGUUUUGAUGACCUGUAUUUUGCAUUGUAAAAUGUGUUUCUUUUUCAUUUCAGUAUGGCUGUGGUAAGUACACAAACUUUCUUUAAUUUUCAUAUUGAACUGUUUUGAUGACUUGUAUUCUGCUAUACAAAAUGUGCUUUUUUCAAUUUCAGGUCAGCAAUGGUAAGUAUAGUUUGUUUUUUAUGUAUAAUUUUGUAUACAUAUUGUUUUUUUCAUCAUAGCAUGUCUUUUAUAUUUAUGCUUUGUGUAAGUAAAAUGUUCAUAAAUCAUUCUUAUCUUCAAACUAAAAAUGUAUUGUGCUAUGCAAAAUGUCUGUAUGAUUUCAGUUGCCAGAGGUGAGUACCAUUACAGUUGAAAAGUUAGUUUUGUUUAGUUAAAGUUUUGGUUCACAGUUCUGUUUGUUAUUUGGCAAAAUUUACAUGUAUGCAUUGAGUCUUGAUUUCAGCUCGAUUGUGGACUGAAGAAGAUUGCCCGCAGAGGGAUUGGAUACAAAAUACAAAGUAAGUACUGAGUUUCUUACUAAAAGUUUUGAGUUGUAUUCAUUGUAUGUUAAUAUGCUAUGAUUGCUAUGAACAUGACUUUUGUAUUUCAGCGAAGACAACAUAGGUAAGUAAAAUUGUUAUCUGUUUCAUGUUUACUGUUACAGUUCAAUAUUGUGUUUAUAAAUUGUAAGUUGUACAAACACAUUCAAAAGUUUCUAAUCAUGCUUUCGAUUUCAUUUCAGCUUUACUGCUAGACGAGUGUUCUCUACUACUUGACGAGUCAGCUUUACUACCAGGCGAGCAGUGACAACAAGGCGCCUUUGUGGAAACAACACAACAAAAAACUGUACUGCUAGACGAGCAGUGACAGAAAGGCGCCUGAACAUGCAACACAAAACAAAAAAUGCCAAUAUACAAACCUUGAUGUGAACACCGAGUAGUCAAUGCAUACGUGUGGCGUACAGCUGCGACAAAACCGUGGGUCCAUCGCACCGAUAACUCGAACAUUGGACCGCGUAUGGACAUCAGUGCAACUUUGUGAAUCCAUGUAACUUUGUGAAUCCAUGUAACAUUGCGAAUAUGUGUCGAUCGAAAAAUGUGUACAUUCUGCACUGAAACGAACUCGGUGUUGCAAGUGGCAAGUGUUGACAGUGUGUAUGUUUAUGUUUAUGUUUUUACAUGAAAACUAAAGGAGAUUGUUCUCCUACCUUUUUUUUCCUUGUUUUAUUGCGCUGGCCAGCAAUAUUGAUGUAUGUGUUUGUGUUUAAACUAUGCAAUACCAAAAUCAAACAAAAAUAAACAUUAACAGUCAUUAACUGUG
Dreissena polymorpha is the source of this 5670-nucleotide long non-coding RNA. RefSeq lists it as uncharacterized. The transcript has 5 exons. The record is from RefSeq and is a predicted model, not a curated record. NCBI's taxonomy places the organism in Eukaryota, Metazoa, Mollusca, Bivalvia, Myida, Dreissenidae.